RNAcentral lists this ribosomal RNA (229 nucleotides) under uncultured bacterium. Its description in RNAcentral is "partial 16S ribosomal RNA". It matches the Rfam family "Bacterial small subunit ribosomal RNA", at positions 524 to 751 of the family's 1533-position model. The record is from RNAcentral.
UACGGAGGGAGCUAGCGUUAUUCGGAAUUACUGGGCGUAAAGCGCACGUAGGCGGCUUUGUAAGUAAGAGGUGAAAGCCCAGGGCUCAACCCUGGAAUUGCCUUCAAUACUGGCGACCUUGAGUAUGAGAGAGGUGUGUGGAACUCCGAGUGUAGAGGUGAAAUUCGUAGAUAUUCGGAAGAACACCAGUGGCGAAGGCGACACACUGGCUCAUUACUGAACGCUGAGG